CCAAUCACCAUUGCAGAGGACAUGCGUCCAAGCUGAGGAUGGGUUCUGCUCAAUAAAGAUCCAAAGCAGUGCAGACUGAUGCAUGUUCAUUUUCAUCAUCUGAGCCAG
Molecule: non-coding RNA, 108 nt
Organism: Chelonoidis abingdonii (Abingdon island giant tortoise)
Lineage: Eukaryota; Metazoa; Chordata; Testudines; Testudinidae
Source: RefSeq, a predicted model, not a curated record